AAAUGCGUUCGGUUAAACCACGCUGGUUUCUAACCCGCCCGGUUUUGCCAGAAACCCCUCGGUUCGACCGGUUUUGAGAAACACUGCUCAGGACCCGUGGAUUGCAUCCCGAGCGAGGUGAACGACCGCGACCGAACCCAUCUUUCUCCUCUCGCGACAGCGGCGGCGCCGGCGGCGAUUCGAACGGAGGGGACGGCGGCGGAGACUCGGCGGUGGCCGGCUGGAGGAGAGGAGCGCCUCGAAGCUGAUGCCGCCCUUCCUCGACGCUGAAGCCGACGGUGGCCGGCUGGAGGAGAGGAGCCCGGCCGAAGACCUCUCCGAGGAAGGUCCAGAUCUCCUGCAUCUCCGCCUUCCCCGCCUCCGACUCCGGCUGUUAGUUGGUACAAUCCUCUCGUCCUUGUCCUCCCUUUCGCCUAUGUGACCUGAUCGGCAUGGAUCGGUCAGGCACCGUGCUUCCUCCCUCUUCUUGUUCGUGCGUUGCUGCAAGAUUUAUACACCGUUCACUAGCCAGCUCUUCGAUCGUGCAAAAAAAAAUUAUGUUUUCUUUUUGUCUUUUUUUUUUUUUUGAAGUGUUGAGCAGUGGUUGUUAGAUUACCAGGGCUGCAACGACAUCUAUGGCAACCUGCAACCUGGUCCUCCAGUUGAGUGGCGUUCUGAGAGGGUCUGUGUGGCAGUUUAGCUGAAGAAGAAGAAGAGAAUAGAUAUCUCUGAAUGAUAUAUUUCUAGAUAAUUGGAGCAUUACCAUGUAGGCAUUCCUUGAGGCUUAUGUUCUCCAUAUGAUCAAGCACCAGAAACCUGAAACAACAAAGAUAACAAUAUCACAAACACUGAAGGUUAGAAAAUUAGGAUAAAGAAAAGCAUGAAGAAUUGGCACGGAGACAAGGAGCAACCUGUUGAUCUGGUUGCUGUGACCACAGCGAAAUGAAGAAGAUAUGUGUUUAACCACAAUCUUGUGAAUAAAAGAUGUCCAUCUUGCUAUCAUUGAUGCAUAAUUCACUGCAAUUUCACCUGUAUGUCCAUUUUCGUGUAAAUAAAAGUUGUUGUUGAGUAUCCUUUAACAUGACUCCAUGAAUUAAGUUGAGUAUCAUUUAAUAUUGCUUUCUAUUGACUGCUUAUCUUUACCACAGAAAAUAUCUUGAUAUGCUUUGCUUUUUUUUUUCUAACGAAUUGUAUCUUUGUUACUGUCUGUGAUAUUUGUGUCUAGCUAGGUGUAUGUCCAAUGUGUCUGUGUUCAGUAAGAUGUCUCUUGAAUAGCAUUAGUAAGAUGUCUCUUGAAUAGCAUUACUAGUAUGAAGUUCUCUCCAUGUUUCUUCAAUCGACAACUACCUAUGAGGCUAUCAACAUGUGAUACUCACAACAUAAACCAUGGACUGAAGAGCAAUUCAGUCAUUUGAGACUUUGUUAUUAUAGUAGUAUUCACACUGAAUUCUUUUAAUAGAAAUUGAAUCUUUCGUACUCCCUCCGAUCCGAAAAAAGAGUCGGACGAGCCAUUUUACACAAACAGCCUCACGUUUCUUUUCUUCUAUACCCGCAGUCCACUUAUCCUCUUCCUUCCAACGCCACCCACCCGUCUUCCUCACAGUUCCCCAUUCUCACUUCUCCCUCUUGUAGAUCCAAUCCUGCACUUGCUCGCCGGCCGCCCCUGCACUUCCUCGCCGGCCGCCCCCCCCAGUUGUCCCCAUCGAUGAAUUAAUCUCUGGCUCUAUCUUCCUGCAACGCGUCAAGGGCGACCAGGCGGGAGGCUGGACGGCUCCGGCUGGGCCUCGCCGGCGCAACGUGUUUUUGGUUUGCAAUUGAUAGCUGAUGGUUGCGGAGCAGAGGAGGACCAGCUGCGCACCGCCGCAGGGAGGAGGUCGAGGGCGACAGUGAGCUCAGGCGAGCGUGGUGCCACGAGCAGGCCAGCGGCGGGCGCCGCGGGCUCUGAUAGGGAUCGAUUGCGGGGGCGAAUCGAUCGAUCUAUGUUUGCUGACCGUCUUGUUUGCCGAUUCCUCGAUCGACGGCGAGCUGAUUCAGUGAUUCAUUGACAGCGAAAGUUGAGGAUGAUGGAGAUGAAGACAAGAUUGUUGUUUGAAAUUCAAAUUUGAAGGCCUAAUUUGAGGCGUUUUCAAUGGUUUUGUUUUUUUUUUUUUUUUUUUUUUUUUUUUUGCAAACACAGAUUUGUAGGCUACAACUUCGUUUCCAGGACCAAUGGAGUAUAUAAAAGUGAU
Molecule: long non-coding RNA, 2207 nt
Organism: Lolium perenne
Lineage: Eukaryota; Viridiplantae; Streptophyta; Magnoliopsida; Poales; Poaceae
Source: RefSeq, a predicted model, not a curated record